GGCGGACGGGUGAGUAACGCGUAAGGAACUUGCCUCUUGGACUGGGACAACUGUUGGAAACGACAGCUAAUACCGGAUAUUAUGAGAUUCUCGCAUGAGAAACUUAUGAAAGCUAUAUGCGCCAAGAGAGAGCCUUGCGUUCCAUUAGCUAGUUGGUGGGGUAACGGCCCACCAAGGCGACGAUGGAUAGCCGGCCUGAGAGGGUGAACGGCCACAAGGGGACUGAGACACGGCCCUUACUCCUACGGGAGGCAGCAGUGGGGAAUAUUGGACAAUGGGCCACAAGCCUGAUCCAGCAAUUCUGUGUGCACGAUGAAGGUCUUCGGAUUGUAAAGUGCUUUCAGUUGGGAAGAAGAAAGUGACGGUACCAACAGAAGAAGCGACGGCUAAAUACGUGCCAGCAGCCGCGGUAAUACGUAUGUCGCAAGCGUUAUCCGGAUUUAUUGGGCGUAAAGCGCGUCUAGGCGGAAAAAUAAGUCUGAUGUUAAAAUGCGGGGCUCAACUCCGUAUUGCGUUGGAAACUGUUUUUCUAGAGUACUGGAGAGGUGGGCGGAACUACAAGUGUAGAGGUGAAAUUCGUAGAUAUUUGUAGGAAUGCCGAUGGAGAAGUCAGCUCACUGGACAGAUACUGACGCUGAAGCGCGAAAGCGUGGGGAGCAAAC
RNAcentral lists this ribosomal RNA (662 nucleotides) under uncultured bacterium. Its description in RNAcentral is "bacterial SSU rRNA". It matches the Rfam family "Bacterial small subunit ribosomal RNA", at positions 97 to 773 of the family's 1533-position model. The record is from RNAcentral.